Molecule: ribosomal RNA, 250 nt
Filed under: uncultured bacterium
Lineage: Bacteria
Description: partial 16S ribosomal RNA
Rfam family: Bacterial small subunit ribosomal RNA
Source: RNAcentral
CGGAUCUAGUGGCGGACGGGUGAGUAACACGUAGGGGACCUACCUCAUGGUGGGGGAUACCGCCGGGAAACCGGCGCUAAUACCGCAUAAGUCCAUAUCCAUAGAGGGGGUAUGGGGGAAAUGGGUAACCAGCCAUGGGAGGGGCCUUGCGGCGGAUUAGCUAGUUGGUGGGGUAGAAGCCUACCAAGGCGACGAUCCGUAGCUGGUCUGAGAGGACGACCAGCCACACCGGGACUGAGACACGGCCCGG